UACGUAGGGGGCAAGCGUUGUCCGGAAUCAUUGGGCGUAAAGAGCGUGUAGGCGGUUCAGUAAGUCUGCUGUGAAAGUCCAGGGCUCAACCCUGGGAUGCCGGUGGAUACUGCUGGACUAGAGUGCGGAAGAGGCGAGUGGAAUUCCCGGUGUAGCGGUGAAAUGCGCAGAUAUCAGGAGGAACACCGGUGGCGAAGGCGGUUCUCUGGGCAUGUCCUGACGCUGAGGAGCGAAAGUGUGGGGAGCGAACAGG
This 253-nucleotide ribosomal RNA is filed under the name uncultured bacterium. RNAcentral's name for it is "partial 16S ribosomal RNA". It matches the Rfam family "Bacterial small subunit ribosomal RNA", at positions 524 to 776 of the family's 1533-position model. The record is from RNAcentral.